GACGAACGCUGGCGGCGUGCCUAAUACAUGCAAGUUGAGCGAUGAAGAUUGGUGCUUGCACCAAUUUGAAGAGCAGCGAACGGGUGAGUAACGCGUGGGGAAUCUGCCUUUGAGCGGGGGACAACAUUUGGAAACGAAUGCUAAUACCGCAUAACAACUUUAAACAUAAGUUUUAAGCUUGAAAGAUGCAAUUGCAUCACUCAAAGAUGAUCCCGCGUUGUAUUAGCUAGUUGGUGAGGUAAAGGCUCACCAAGGCGAUGAUACAUAGCCGACCUGAGAGGGUGAUCGGCCACAUUGGGACUGAGACACGGCCCAAACUCCUACGGGAGGCAGCAGUAGGGAAUCUUCGGCAAUGGACGAAAGUCUGACCGAGCAACGCCGCGUGAGUGAAGAAGGGUUUCGGAUCGUAAAACUCUGUUGGUAGAGAAGAACGUUGGUGAGAGUGGAAAGCUCAUCAAGUGACGGUAACUACCCAGAAAGGGACGGCUAACUACGUG
Molecule: ribosomal RNA, 497 nt
Filed under: uncultured bacterium
Lineage: Bacteria
Description: partial 16S ribosomal RNA
Rfam family: Bacterial small subunit ribosomal RNA
Source: RNAcentral